UGUGUUCGGCUGUGGGAGGCUGCCCUGCUGCCUCCACUGCUCCCAGGAGAGGGCAGCUCAGCUCCUUUGCAUUGUGAGAAUUCCUGCGGGAAUUGUCAGCAAGUGGCAGGGUUGUUAUGGCCAAGCCGGGAAGAGAAUCCUGAGCUUGAGGCCCGACGGUUGUUUGGAGGUGAAGAGUAGUCAGAAAGGGGCUGCAGCUUUGGAGGGAAAAAAGCUCUUGCUGCAGUAACUUUCUGAAGUCAUGCACAUUCUCCAUACAAAGCAAGGAAGAAAAUAUAUUUAAUUUGGUUUCCUGUAGAAGCUACACCCUUUUGGCACAGCUUUCAUUUACAACUGCAGUGAUAAGUAAGUAAUUCAUCUUUCUGUGCAAAUCAAUAGGAGAAUCUUGUUUCAUCUCUGUUUCCUUUCAUUUUGUUUUUCUUUGCUACACUGCUUCUCUCCCGCCUGUGUAAUCCCUCUGAUGGGAAGCUGAGCCUUGCCAAGAGCUGCCUUUGGGUAAUUGAGUCACUCACUCUUCCUCCUGCAAUCUCUGUCCAGCUUGAGGAAGGCUGCAGCACUCAGCUGCUGUUCAGAAAUAUUCUGGGUUGGUUCCCUGCCGUUGGCUCCUUGUGAAGUGGCAGUUCAGGCUUGGAGAACCUUUAUUCCUGUGGUGCUGGAGCCUUUGGGAAUUUUGAAAAUUAACUGGGUUUUAAUUCUAAACAGAAAGAUACACUUUGGACUGAAAUCAAAUCUGGAAAAACACAUCGGAAAAAGCCAAAACCUCAAGGCUCUGUGUGCAGUCAUAAAACUUUUUGCUGCACUUUCUAAUCAGGAUGCCUCCAUUCCCCAGCACACCUUGUUGAUUUAGUCUGGAAAGAGAAAAGUUCCCUUCACACAGCUCACACACAGCUCAGGUCCUCUGCAUGUUGUGAUUCAGCCAAAUGUCUGCUCUUAUCCCAGGCAAAAUGACCUGCAGGAAGAAGGAGAGGGCAGAAACAAUGAUCUGUGAGCAAAAGCAGAGUUUCAGCAGAAGGAAAAAUCUCAGCUCUGACAGUCACCAUCCCAUAGGUGAAGGGGCUCUAUCCCUGCUGUCCUCUGCCUCCUUCUCCAUAAGAGUAAGACAAAGGGGUGCAAAUUUUGCAGCAAAGAAAAUGCAAGGUGGAUAUUAGGUAUGUUUCUUGCCUGUUGGGGGCUGAGAGAGUGCAAAGUGCUGCAGGAAGGUUUUGAAGGUUUUGGAGGAGCAGUUAAGCAGAUUUUGGGACCAUAGGGUGUUGUUUGAGUCAUUACAGACUGAGGAAAGUUCCAUCCAAGGGAGCUGCAGAUGCAGGAGAUCCAUAGAGGGCUGCAGCUCCCGUGGGUGGACAUGUGGAUGGUCCUGAGCAGAGCAGAGACAGAGGAAGAAUCUGGAAUCCUAGAGGAAGGACGGCAAAAGGAGAGGACCCUUCCCUUACAGGUGUGACUGGAGCUGUGAUCAUGCCACAGCUGGCUGCUGGUUUCCCUUCAUCUGACACUGGGAAUGUCCUGCUCCUCGCACUGACAUGUGUCAAAUAAUUCACAGGCUGAAGGGAAUUCACAUCCCUGAGAGGGAACAUCCAGGGAUGCUUGUCCUGCCUCUGCAAUGAGGGGUCUUUGCCUAAUCUCAUGAGUUCCUUCCCAGCUCUUAGCACAGAAGCACUGCCCAUGAAGGCAGCAGAGUGCCACUGAAACUCUGGAAAAUGGCUGGAGUUUACAGGUAUUUUCAAACCAAAGAUCCAAACAGAGCCCUUAUUCCCACAUUAUUCCCACUACACAUUUUUCUAAUCUCAACAGUGGAACAGGUUCACAAACAGCCCUUCCUAAGGGUUUUGGUGGGGGUCAGAGGACUUGUCCCUCUUCUCUCAGUCUUACAGUUCUGCACCUUUCAUCAGAGACUGGGACAAAGAGUGUUUUUUUGGAUAAAACUCCCUAUUCCUUAUUCCUUUAGCAGCUUCCCGUGAUGCCAGGCAGCAGCAAGGGGCAUGCCCAGGAGCAAAGCACAAGAGGGAUCUCUGCCGGGUCCUCGUGUCCCCAGGACAAUCCUCUGUGCAGAGCCCUGAGCAGAGGUUUUGUGUAGCCAUCAUGACAGUAACGCUAUGAAAGAUGCUGCUGAUAUCAGUCUGAGACAGGAAACACGUAAGGAAUUAGAAACAGACUCUUCUGAAAGAAGCAAGACAACAGGAUAUAUUACAAUAUCAAAAUGUGCUUGACAGGUGGAAUUUAUAUAUCACAUAGUGAAAGAAGCUGUUUGGUGAGUGAUACAUUUCAUAUUAAAAUAUAUAAAUCAUUCACUUGGAGAAGAAUUGGACUCUGUGGGCAAGUAGCUUCGCUACUGCAUCUGACAUGCUGCCUGUUAAAACAGAUAUAUUCAUUUAUGAAUCUGAUAAUCAUUAUCUACUUUCUGUAUUUAUUCCAUGGUAAAAUUGAGAGUAAGGUGCAUCAGUCACAACAUCUGACGAUACUCUGUGUCUGUUACUGGCUUGAUUGUGUUAUUCCAGUGUUGCAGGAUAGUUAAUAGUCCCUAGUUAAUCAAAGUAUCUAUUGAUUAAUAUAUAUUCCCAUUAAGGUAAAUAUAAAUCAUAAUAAAUUAGAUAAUAUAACCAUAAUAAACCUGCUGUAUCCAGUAUGUAACAUACUAAAUCAAAAUUAGUAAUUACUAAUUGAAAUUAUAUCCCCUAGUAUAGCAUUAUAUAAAUCAAAGGCAUUUCUCUAAACUCCAUGCAUCAUUCAGAAGAUUAAUCCUCUGGCAACUGUAAAUGUUUUUCUACUCCAUUCAUUUGGCUAAGUUGGAUAAUGGUAAUAGCCUUGAGGUUAAGUACACAGCACUGUGUCAGAGCUGACUCGUGGUUGUGGCCACUGGUCCCUCUUGCCCAUCCCACUGCACCCACUGCUGUCCCUGGGCACACUCAGGGCACUGCACCAGCUCACAGAGCUCAGGGGAAGUUGUCUCUGCAGUGCUCUUGGAAGGCUUCUACCCUGUGCACUUGGACACAAAACAUUGGGGCACAAAAACAAAGAGCUCAUCUGGAAGAGACAUGGGGGGGUUUGGAUGAUCCCAAACCCAACGGGGUUUUCUUCUUCCUUACUUCCCACUUGGAACUUGAAUGACUUGAGAGGAGUGUUUGUUUUGAAUUUCUCUCUCCAGCAUCCCAGGGAGUGGAUGGGAACACCAAGAGGAGCUGUUCUCCCAUGAGAGGGCAGGGCAGUGACUGAAAAGCUCUGCAUUGACACAACAGCCUGGCAUGGACAGACUCGAAGUGAGAGGAUGCUGCCUGGGCCCCUGGAGGUCAAGGAAAGUCCAGUUCACUGAAGAGAACAGAAGAGAAUGAACCAUUCCUGGGCUUUCUAGCAGUGUGGGAGAAGAUCCAUGCUACAGGACAAAAAACCGUAUACAGCUGUAAGGAGUUGGUUCACACAGAAUUAGAUGUGCUGAAGCUGCCACCUGAUGUUUCCUGUUGUUACACUCGAGGCCUCUGUGUGACAUCUGCCUCUGAACAUUUCUGGUCACUGUCCUUAUAAAUGGGAUCAUUUAUAGAACAUAAGGGAUAGAGAGUCCUUCCAGGUAUGAUCUGCUCAGAGUUGCCUCAGAUUUCAUAAUUAUUCACAAUAAUGGCCCAUGGACAGGAGAUUUCUGUGUGGAAAUGCCAGGAAAGUAUUUUGAAAUUGUGCUGCUCUGUGCAGCAUUCAGCAUUCCCUAGGAAAGAGCCUGUAUUGGCACCAUUCCCUUGCACAGGGCUCUUGUCCUUCCUGGCCACUGGCAGAAAUGAGUUCACAAAUAUCUGUAUGUUGCACUGGGUUUCCUUCCCUCUGAGCCUGAGAGCAAGGAAAUAAAAUCAUAAAAUUGUUCCAGCAGCAGGAGUCCAGUGAAUGGGUAAUUGUCACACAAUGUAAAGGUGUUUGAAAGAGUGGAGAAAAAAAUAAUCUAAAUGUUCUCCUUUUACUGGGAAAAUGUAUUAUUAUUUAUGAAUAAUUUUUGCUGUUGAAGGGAAGUGUAAGAUACAAUCAGAGAGACCAUAAAAAUGAAAUUUAUAAAGUGUUAUUUACAUUAUAUUGGAGAAGAAGGAAGAACUGGCAGGGAGAAUUCUGGUUCAUUUAAAUACAAAAUCAGGUUAUUCAGAAUUGCAUUCUUAGAUUAACUGCUGUACAAAAUUUAACCCAUAAUUCUUCCUGCAGUAGAAAUAUGAAUCCUGGUGUAUGUAGGUGCAGCACCUGAUUUGUAGGACGGGUGAUCUAUAAAGAAAGAUUUUUGCCUUUGCUGUUUCAGUCUGUUAGUAGUGGAGCAUGAGCAGGCACAAAAUGUCAUAAUCUCAGAUUUUUGCACUUUUAUAUUUUACCAUAAAAUUAACUUCUUUCUCAGAUUGAAGGGACUGGACUGUGCUGAACAGAUUAGGGUCUGUUAGGAUGAAGUAACCCUGCACAUCCAUUGAAGAGAUGAGCACUCAAAAGGGGAUUGUAGUGCUGGAAAUUCUACCCAGGAAAACAUAACUAUGGCCACGAAUAACAUUUUCUUAUCUCUUCCUAUUGACAGAAAACCAGCCCAAGUAAAGUAAAUUUAUAGCAUAUCAGAUCCCUGCCAAGGGAAAAGUGUUGCCUUAAAUCAGCUCAAACCUGAUCUUUCCACUGGGAAAAGGAGUUCCUAGAGAACUGCAGAUUUGGUGGGUGCUUUCUGCUUUUCAGGACAAAUGACAGUUCCAAAGAAAAGGAAAAAGCCUUGGAUUGGAAGUUUGGGUUUUGGUAAAGAUUCUGAAGUUCUGGUGAGAGCUGGAGGAAGUUUUAUGUUCUGACACAGCAGGACAGAAGCACAAGGAUCAAACAAGGACUGUGCAGAAUGAGAUUUUCCUGGGAGCACCUGCUAGUCCCUGCCUAUAUGACCUAUGAGCUGUGGAAUUUCUCUUCCUUUUUUAAAGCUCAUUCUUUCCAGAGUUAAAAGGUUCUGGUUACUUCAGAGACAGAAGUCAGACCUUGCCAUGUUUUGUUCAGAGAAUGCAUCCAGAACUCCUCAGGCUCAAGAGUUCCAGGACACUCCAUGAAGUUCCUUAGAGGAGGGUGCUUGAUGGCAGAAUACACAGGAAUUAAAGGAGAAAAGGUCUGGGUGAUUCGUAUGGUUUGAAAAAUGGUGUUGGCUUACAACUUCUGUACUUAGUCUUGAAAAAAAUCCUCUGAAAAUCAAAACAGAACUUGGGAAAUUCAAUUUAAAUCAGCCUGAGAAGCCACGAAUUGAGUCAUCAGCACUGAAAUGUGAGUCACCUGUUUGCCAAAACAUGCAAAGAUGUCUGUUCUGUGUUAGAGCAGAAAUUAACCAACACCAGAUUUGAAAAACUGGCAGAUCUUAUCAAUACUUCCAGAUAGCACGAGUGGAGAUAAAUACUUUAGCUGAAACCUGAAAGGAGGAAGUUGAAGCUGCUCCUCAUUUUCCCCGUGGACCAUUGCUUUACUUGCUCUCAAGUAUAAUCCUUUUCAGCACAAUCAAGCUGUUUAAGUUUUCAUUUUUUAACAUUCAAUCCACUUUGAAAAUUUUCAAGAUGGACUUCAAAUUCAGUUUGGUUUUGGUAUUUUGAGGGCAGCAUGAGGAGUUCUUAUAAUAAUACUAUUUAAAAUGAUUGCCAGCUUUUUUACUUUGGAGGCAUUUACAAAAUUCCAAAUUGCUACUUAAAAGUGCAAAUAUUUACAUACAUAGAUGAAAAUCUGGCUAUAAUUUUUAUUUUGCAGACCACAUUUCAGAGCCAAGACAUGAAAGAAAUGGAUUCCUGGGCUGCAGAGUCAGAUUGGUUUAUUUCUUGCUAAUAAAUUUCUAACAGUGUACAUAUUUACUGAGAUCUUCAAAAUUAGCCUUUUCUGGGAAGGUUUGGAACAUCAGCUGUCAGGCUGUACUUUAGAAAUCUAGUUGUGUAUUCUAUUUACCCUCAGUCCAAGCAGAUGCUGUGGGUGGGAUCCCUGCCCAUGGUAGAGGGAUUGGAACUAGGUGGUCUUUAAGGCCCCUUCCAACCCAAAUAAUUCUGUGAUUCUAUUUCGAGCUCACAAAAUGACAAGUUCUUAAUCUUUAUGAAUAUUCUGGGAUCAUAUAGUUAAUUUGUCACUAUUUCUAUCCAGUUAAGUACAAACUUAUAUGCUGAAUGGAAUUUUAGGGAGGUUCCUUUGUCUUUAACUUUUGCUAACAAUGGUGUGUGUGUGUGUGUGAUAGCUCAGAUUGGAGAGUGGGUAUCUAGCUGAGUAAGCACACCUGUCUGUCCUUUUCCUUUUUAUAAAAUAUUCACCCAUCUAAUCAUUUUUUGUCUUGGAGAAAAUGGGAAGAAACUAUCCCCACUGAGCUUUAAAGACUGCUGGUGCAAUAAACACUCAGCAGAAAGUCAUCCUCAGUGAGUGGGUACAUUCGAAAGGUUAUGAACUGAAAGAGAAAAGCAAAGUCCUAAAUUGGAUUGCUGGCAGCAGUUCCUCAUGUUUCACUUAAGCCACUUUAGGUAAAAUGACUUUCCUUUUUGUUUGCCAGGAAAAACAAGAUGCUUUGUUUAAGUUCAUUACCUCUAAUAUUUUAUAAGUAGGUGGGUACAGAGCUAUGCUCUGUUUUCUGUGACCUGGGCUCUGAGAUGAGAGUGUUGUCGUCUGCAAGUCGCCAUUCUGUGCCUAUUUGGAUGCAGAGCAUCCAUCAUUGUGCACAGACUCUCUCUGAGCUUCCAUUUGUAGCCUCUCUGUGCUUGGGUUUGCAGCCCCAGCAGCUGUGCUGCCUAAAUAGAGGGGAAAGGCUUUUUUCUGCCACUUGCUUUUAUGCUUUGCUUCUCAAUGUUAGGUACAACCGAGGUGUUUCUCUCUUGGGUCAUGAGUAAGGUCAGACUGAAAGCACAAGCAUGGUCUGUGCUGACCGCCCCAGGUUCCCUGCUGCCUGUAGAGGUGUAGGAGAUGGUUUUGCUGGCAGGCACCUUUCCUAUGGCUACAGGGGACAAAAUGCCCAGUGGUAUCACCUGUAUGGACUGGUAUGUCCACAGCACACAGAUAUUCUGCAUCAGGCUCUGCCCUGUUUGCCCCCUGCCUGAGGCUGGCUGCUCACUGCCAUUCUGGACACCAGGCUCUUUGGGGUGAUUCUUCACAAGGAAUUACUCCACACCAGAACAAGGUCCUUUCCCUGCAGGCAGGUCAAACUCAGAUGUUGCUAAAGAUCUGAGACUUGUCCCAGAUUGUCACUAAAUCAUGGCUUUUCUGAGGAACAAAAGCAUUUUUAACUCUGCUCCUGGUUUUCUGUGGCCACAUCUGGUUUAGCCUGGGUGCAGCCACACUGGAGGUGCUGCUGUGGGUUCCUGCAGAGUUGUUCCUGGGGAAACAGUGCCAGAGGCACCUCACUGAUGCCAAGGAACCUUCAGGACACAAGGGAGGGUCCUGCUAUUCUACAUUAAUCUCAUUUCAGAGAGAAAUUAUUGAGACAAGAGUAUCACAAGGAAUAAUGGAGGGUUAAAGAGCAACCUCUGUGAAAAGGGUAUGAAUAACCUGAGGAAGGCACAUCAAAGUGCUCUCUUGGGCUAAAAAGCAGUCCAGCCUCAUCCAGAGACUGUAAAUAAUAUUGCCCCCAGGGUUCUGCUGCUCAAGAAACAGUACAAUAAAAUUCUUUCUGCAGACCACGGGCUCGAUUUGGAUGCUGGUGUUAUUGCAAUUUCCAGAAAGUUUAAGUGCUGCAAAGACAGUGGAAACUCAGCAGUUUGGAUUCUUCCUGGCUCCUUCCCCGAGCCCCCCACAAACACAGUAAUUGCAGCUGCCCAGGACUGGGACUGUGGGCCAGAGCAGCCCCAAGCCCUCCCCUAUUUACACAGGGGCCAGUUUCUUUAUAUGAAAAACAGACCAAAACAAAACCCCACAAAACAAAACAAGUAAAACUGCUUCUUUAAGGGCUCUUUCUUCAGUUUUAGCAUCCUCUAAAUGACUCAAAUGGGCUUUAUAGGCAGACACGAGGCGCGCUGUGGGUGAGGAUUAAGCAAGCCGAGUUUAAUCCUACAAGGAAUAAUCAAAUGUGGAAACACCCUGUUCUGUCCCCUUGGGGGACAUUCAGUGAGCUGCCGUGUUCAGAGCAAGCUUUGUUGCUGGCUGGAGCCACCUCCUUGCUGGUUUCCUCACUGUGCACAAGUUGAUGCAACCCUGCCUAUUAACUUUUAUUUUAUGUUCUGUAUAUUUUUAUUAUGAAAGAGAGCAGGGAAACCAGUGUGCUUGGCUAAUCAGGUUUAUUUAUAUCCAGCCCCGAUGCUGCCAUUAUGCCUGCAACACACACAGUAAAGAACUGGGAUCUUUUGCCUUUUUCUGAGAAAAACACCAGGUAUUUAAGGCAAGUUGGUAGGGGACAGGGUGAGCAAGUUUUAUUUUAGAAAUGUCACUCUGUGCUACCUGGAAAUUGAAAACAUCCAUUCCAGGUAUCUUUGAGCAUUUGGAAAUUACUGUCACCUGAACGCUUUGACCCAAGCUUCACACAGAAGGCAAAAAGAGUAACAGUAACUAAGUGAAAAUGAAAAAUUAAUUGUCUUUUUCUCCCUGGAGAAGAGAUCCAUUCUGCUGGAGCUGGAUAACACUUGGAAGCUACAGAGCUCCUUUUCAUUAGAGAAAUGAAAGGCUCAUCAUCCCUAGAGCUCUUAAUUAGGCACCUUUUGCCAUUCACAAAAAUCUGUGUCUCUGCUGUCAAGUCCUAUUUGUUUUAAAAAUUGAUUCAUUCUCUUCAGUUCUUUUGUUGGGCAGCAGAAAUGGAUAGACCAAAUGAGUCCAAACACUUUGUAAAUUGUAAGAGGUUUAAUAUAAUCAGCGUGGCCACGCCAAGCUCAGAGAACAAGUGUACAGCAAUGCUUUGGUGCCACAGGCUCACAGAGCAAUAACAAAAUCCAUGUUCAAAGCAGAGAGGGCUACAGAGGACAGGAAAAAAAAGUACAUCUGGAGCAUUAGCUCCCUGCAGACCUAUAUGGUACUCUUUCAUUUAUGGUGGCUAUUAAUUCACAGGAAUUACGUAUCACUUAGGUAGGGAGGGUCAAAAUAAAAGUGUUUGGGUUUAAAAAUAUUCAGACUGAAUGGUUUUUAGUGCAGGUUUUCUGGUGAGGAGUGGUUUAAGCCUUUUGUUUAAAGGAGAUGGAAUUUCUUUUUCACCACCACCCAAAAAAUAACAUCUCUUAGGUGUUGAAUAUAAAUUUAAACCGAGAUCAUCUGUAUUUGUAAGCCUUCCUUUGAAGCAUUUCUCCUUAUGAUAAUAUUCAAUAUCUGUUUACAAGGUUUUGAUUUCAUGCAGGAAACAACUGCUUUUGUACAAACAUGUAAAUCUAUAUAUGAAUGUGAGUAUUUGCAUAUAAAUGUGUCUUCUACAUUAUUUUUUUGUUUUAAAAAUCUCAGUCAGCCUUGAAACAGGAACAAAACAAUAACCAUCACUCAUGUGACCUGCCUGACUGGAGCUCAUCAGUGAACCCAAGCAAAGCUGAUGCUCCUCCAUCAUGCAGGAGGCUGAGCCUUCCAAGAGUGGGGUUGCUGCUUUCCAGGCUGAGAAGAUUCUCCAGUUACCUGCAUUUUCAGGUUUAGAUGAUCUUUUCAAUUCAUAGCACUAAAUAUGCAGAAGGCUUUGUUGCAGAAUUUGGUAUAAAGACUCCAGGUUUUUUCCAAAACUUAUCUUUUAGGCUUAAAACUACUAUAAAAUUGCUCUUUGCAUAGUUAGAGGGGCAAAUGGCCCAUUAUUAAUCAGUGUAGUGCAUUUUGGAAGGUGGAUACAGGGAAAGGUAAGUAUUUCUUUUUUGUGAAAGCAGUACUUUCUGGGGAGAAAGUUUUAAAUAAAGGCCAGCAUGAUUAGAGGAAAAGGGUAGAUAUAAUUGAUUCAAAGUCUUACAGGAGUAGUUUUCAUACUGAUUCUCUGAUUAUCUUUUCAGUACAUACAUCUUUCUCUCUAAAAGUGGUGCCAGUUUGAGUCACUGCUUCCUGUGUUUUGUAGCUGCACAGAUGAGCUGUGCUGGGAGAAAGCCCCAAAGAAUUUCCCCACGUGCACAGGAAGGAUUACAGACCCUGUGUUAGAUGCAUGAUGUAUCCUUGCAAGCUUCACCAGCCAAAUUGUGCCAACACUGGUGUCUCAGCUAUCACUGUGGGGUUUUAGUCAUUUUUUUCCUCAGCCUGUUAAAGAAGUUGUCAACAAAAGUAGCAGUGUAUUAGAAAUAGCUUAAGAAAUUAUAAAAAUGCUCACCUCCCAAAUUUCUAUUUGCUGUUGCUGCUGGCAUUCACAUGAGAUCCAAGACAAAUACCUUUAUUUAGUUGAGUAAGGCAGGAUUUUCUUUUUAGUUCCUUCUUUUCCAAAGAUAAGCAGGUCUGACUCCUAUUUUAUUGAUUGAAAGUUGAAAUUUCCAUAACCAUGCUGAGAGUCUUGCUGACAGAGCAGUGUAAGCAAAUUGUCUUAGAGGUACUCCCUUCCCAGAGGAUGGAAUCGAAGAGGAUUUAUGGAAGAGCUUCACACAACAAAGGAGUUUUGCUCUUUCCCACAUGUAGACAGUGCUCACAAUGCCCAAUUCAGAUUGCUGAGUUAGAUCAUGGCCAUUGCCAACAAGGCCUUCUCAAAGGCAGGUGCAGCAUUUCAUGCUCACAUUUUUUGCCCAAGGUUGCAGAAGUCCCUUCAGUCUGUAUUUUGCUUACAAACAUGAGAGAUGAUCCACACACGUACUCUGCAUUUGCACUGGAUUAGCUGUAAUUAGCAGCACGAGUUCUUUUGGGUGAUGACAGUGAAAACAUUAAACAUCAGGGCCUGCUGGAGCUGUGCAAAACCCAACAGAGGCACCCUGUAGGCUCUUAACUUACUUAUUUACCCUGUAAGAAUCUCCUUGGGUCUCCACCUGUGGAAAUGCAGAGUGAAACUCUACUCAGAAAAGCAGUUUCAUCUGGUGGUGUAGCAGGGCCAGGCAUCUGCUGUGUCAGAAUGAAAAUGUGACACAUUGUGUUCAGCCAGACCUGAGAUGAAUUUUGAAAAUUGCUCAAGCUUGGAAAGCUUCACAUGGUUUGGGAGGAGAAUGAGCUGCUGAAAUGCUCAGCAGCCACUGCAGAUCUCACACGUGUGUUGAGCAACACAGGAUUAACAAAUCUUGGGCCUGAGAGAGAAAAGUCUUUGGGGGCGAGUAUGAACCAUGCAAAGCCUCUUGUUUGUAUCUGGGCAUUGGACAGCUCCAGUAAACCCCUGAGUAGCUGGCAAAACAGUAUGAAAAUCUGCAGUUAUUUCCCUUUCCAGCAAGUUUGUUUAACCCCUGACAGAAUCACUCCAGUAAAGGUGAGGAGUCUGGUCACGGCUUGUUUUUAAAUUUUAAUCAGUCUUUGAGCAGUUAGCUCAAAGCUGUGUUUACAGUUGAAAAUAAAUCAUGAUUUGGACCUUUCCAUCUGAAAUUAGGACACUCAGGUUAGCCCUGCUGGUGACUGGGAGAGCCAUGGUGAGUGUACCCAUGAGAAGAAUCUGAAUUCCAGUUUUCCCUUCCUGUGUGCAGCACUUCCAAAGCUCCAGCACUUGCAAACAGCUGUGUUAGCACAUCUGGAACUGGUCCUGUAGGGAUCCAUCCUGUUGGGGAGCCCUCUGCAGAUCUGGGAGCAGAGCCUGGGGCUCAGCCAGCUAUGAAAUCAAGUGAAACAGCUAAUUCCUGUCAGGAGGGCACUGCCACUCGUGUUGCUUUGCUGUGACAGAGGAGGUGGUUACAAACCUCAGUUUACAUCUUCUCAUUUCACUCAGCUCCAGUAAUUAUUGACAGGUCUAAUUGCCACCAGAUGGCUGUAUUUUAGUGUAGGACAGUAUCAAAGACCCCAAAAGCUUCUGUAAAUGUACAGCUUUUACCUGGAACCUUAGGAAGGCAGAGAACAGCACGGAUGGAAAGCUCACAGAAAUCACAGAAUCAAUUAGGCUGGAAAAGACCUCUGAGAUCAUUGAGUCCAGUCUAUGACGCAACAACACCAUUUCAACCAGACCAAAUAAUGAUUUCUGAAACCAGUGGGAAUUUUGCUGACAGAUACCAGAUAUUUCAGUAUUUGAAAACCAGCCACAAAUAAAAUUGGCAGCACUCAACUAAAUUUGAGCAGGAAGGAAAAUGUGUUAGGGAAGGGAAAACAAAUGCUCCAUUUACAUAACAAUAAAACUUUAUAUGAAAAAAGAAGCCACCUGAGAGUGUGAAAUACCUUCCAGUACUGCCUGCUCAGGGCAGCAUAAUAAUGCCUGACUUCGUAAUCUGAGCUGAGAUGUGAUGUUGUGGGAGAUGCAGAGGAUGUGUUUAAUCACCCUGUUCUUUGCUAAGUGAGUCAGAUAAAAGACUGUGUGAGAACCAUAGUCAGAGGAAGGAAGCUAUUGUCAGUCCUGGGCACUGAAACUGAAUGAGUCUACAUUUUUAAAAGUUACAUACAUUACAGCCUUCUGAAGGACUCAUUGAUUCAGGGAUCCUAAAACAACAGACAAUGUUAAAGGACAGCCUCGGAGAGGGACAUACAGUCAAACUGCAGCUGUGGGAAUGUGGCCAUAAGAUACUGAUUUUGUAGGGUCCUGAAAUGAUUUGGGCCAACUACCAUCUCCAUUACUGCUUUAAAACAGAGUCUGAAAAUGCCUGUGUUUGGAAGAAGCAAUUCUGUGCUGAAUUUCCCUGGCAAAUCCCAUCACUCAGCCUAAGAGAGGAGAAGUUGCUGAACUCGCACACGCAGGGAAAGACAGUGAAUUACAGAGGUUUGCAGCUUCAUGUGGAGAGAAAAUUGCAGGAUUCAUAAAGCAGUAGCUGGAAGAAGUGUGUACAGAUGCUUCAGAGACCUCUUGUGCAAACAGACAACACCUUAACUCACAGAUUUAGAAGCAGAAUUAACUUUGUUCUUCAGCACUGCUUCUCUUAACUGCUUCACUGCCAUCACAGACGCUACUGGAACACCUUCUGGCUGCCUUAUUUGGUACAAUUGAGUCUAAUAUCUCCCCCCAAACUAAUCACCUUUAGCAGCUCUCACUGGAUUUGCUGCCUGGGCCCUGGUACUAUGUUCAUCUUUUAACUUCCAGUAUCUGACAAUUAGCUGUUUUCUUCAUAUUUUACCCUGGACAUAGAGGGUAGUACCUCACAGACCUGACUGUAUGAACUUGAUUUUACACCUUUGUUUUUCAAUUUAGACACAGUUGACUCUGGAAAGGAUUUAUUACAGCAUGAAAUACCUGAUUCAGCAGAGGUAACAUCACAUGGUGCCAUCCUCAAUAGCAGAAACUUCCUGAAUUCAUUUUGAAGUUUAUAAAAGACAUCAAGUAUCAGAAUGGUCACUUUUACAUACCAUGAAGCAGUCAAGGUUACUCGUGGAGCUUACAACAUGUUUACUCUUUAUUCAGUUCAUGCAGAAUUCAUUGUAUUUCAGGGGGGAACUUGACUUUGUACUAGAUGAAUAAAUGUAGACUUUAUAGAUGGUAACACCUAUGUAUUUUUUAAAGUUCCUUUCUGUAUUAGGGAUACCUAAUACACACCUACCACAGCCUUGCCAGUUUUAUUUCCCUGUCACCCAGGCCUCGUGAGCUAUUACUGUAUAAAUAGAUUUUUUUCUUCCUUUCUUCCCUUCCUUUCUUUUUUUUUUUCCUGUCUUUUAUUUCUGUAACCACCUGACCACUUGUCCUGGAGGUGAAGGCCUGCCCUGUGCUCCCUUUGUGGGGUGUGUGUCGCUGUGGAAGCCCCCGGAGCAGACGAGGCUGAGGCGGCAAUCCCCCACCCUCAGCAGGAUGUGCAGCUCACAUUAGCAGCUCCCUGGGGAGCAGGGCGCUUACAGAGCCAGCUCGGGCUGCUCCUGUGUGGGACAGCACAGGCCGCGGAGGACACAGGCCACGGAGGGCACAGGCCACGCAGGGCACAGGCCACGCAGGGCACAGGCCACGCAGGGCACAGGCCGCUGCAAGCAUUUCUGGGCUCGUGCUGCAAAAUGUCCUCCCUGCGCCUGGCAGAAGCUGGGGGGCUUGAAGGAGAAUAAUUCUGAGGAGAAUGGUUUCAGACUGCUGCGGUUUGAAGUUUGUUAGAGACCUGCUGAGCAGCACUGCCCCGUGUUCUCCUGGAGCUGCUGCCCUGCCGGCGUGAGGAGUGACGGGCCAAGGCCCUGCUGUGGGCCCGGCCCUCAGCCAUGGCAGCCGCGCUCGCUCGUGGGCUCCUCUCCCAACAACCCCGGCCACGCCGGGCCUUGGCCCUGCCUCUGCCUGCUGCUUCUCACCCACCACCUCCUCCAAGUGCCCCUUCAGACUGUCCUUGCUUGAAGAGCUGCUCUGAACAAGUUCUGUGUGUACAGUCUCUACAGCGCAGCAGUACGGCAGCAGACAUCCUCCAGGAGAGCAGUGAUGGCAGCAAACCAGAGGCUGCUGUAAGCAGGGUCUGAAGAGCAGGACGAGGAGGUAGAGGAGAUGACUCAGAUGUGCAGGAGGCUGAGUGUGCACUGUGGUUUUGUUAGUAAGAAAGCUUGUGGCACUCUGAAUGCAUCUUUCAGCUUUCUGAAGAUGCUUUUGAUUUGUACAAGCUGAAUCAAAGGGCUGGGUGAGCUGGCUGAUCAUUCUCAGAAGGAAGAGGCAGCUGUGUUCAAGCUCUUCCCCUGACCUGAAUUCCUGGUUGGAAAGCAAACCAGUUUGCUAGCUGAAAAGAAAGUGUCAAAGGAUACUACAAUUAAAUUAUUUUUUAUUUCCACCUAUCAAAGAAAAUUAAGUGUGAGGGAUUAAGUGGAUAAAUGUAUCAAGUAAACCAGCAGUGAAAACAAUAUACUCCCUUCCUACAACUGUAAACAAUUACUGCCAUGUGAUUUGGAAACUGUCAAUUAGCUCUAAGCACAGUGAAUCAGAGCUGCUUUCUGGUGUAAUGAAAAUGGAGCAUCUCCCCGUCACAUCAGUAUAGAUUGCAUUAACCUUAAUGACUCCUGUAAGGCUAAACCUUGUCUUGCCAAGCAGAUUGAACACUGUGCCUUGUAAGCUUUGCCUUUAACUUAUCUUUGUAAAACUCCCAUUGAUUCUACUCUAAUUUAAACUAGAAAUACAGAAAUUGUCAGGUCUGAACAGACCACUGGUGCAACUAAUUUGAUUUUUUGUUGCUAACUGCAACCAGUGAUGGAUGGGCUCAGGGAAAAGAAGAAUGAUUCAUUCCCUGUCCCCUCCCCUUUUCUCUUUCCACUUGUACCCUUUCCCUAAUUUGUUUAAUUAAGUGUGGUGUGAUUUCUUUACCCCCAGUUGAUGACAAGUUUGUGUACUGAAAUGGAAAUAUUAACAGAUUUUGUGUCUUCAAACUC
Molecule: long non-coding RNA, 15216 nt
Organism: Parus major (Great Tit)
Lineage: Eukaryota; Metazoa; Chordata; Aves; Passeriformes; Paridae
Exons: 9
Source: RefSeq, a predicted model, not a curated record